UGGUUAAUAGAUCUAAAUCUUUUUUUUGUCCAAAAGAAAAUGAUUUUUGAGACAAAAUAUUAAGACGAUCCACUCUGAAGGUAUUCAUCGCCGGCGCAAGAGUACCGAGCGGCAAAAUCCAACUGAAGGCGGUACACUAUAUCCCUGAAGGCGGUACAGCAUCACCAAUGGACCGAAAAUCUUACAGAUGGUGCUCUCAGAAUCUCCAACUUGAUAAUCACACCAGAAACCUUCAGCCAUGCACGUAAGGACACGAACAAUUAUUAUUAACCAAGUCGCGAAGAGCGUGAGCGGGCGGCUAGCGCCGGCCCCCCACGUAAGUUGUUGUGGCGGUACUGAACUUUAAAUACCGGCAGCCCCGCCAGUCUGUAUGGCUAGCACCGUCAACAGCAACAAUAUUCUAGUAUAAAGCUAAAGGGUUGCGCGUUGCCCGCUUCCUGAUUCUUGCACACUAAUUCUGUUACCAUCCACGCUUAAUUAUAUGCGACCAACCGUAAAAUGCCACCGCUUGAAACUUAUUCCCGCAAAAUCCUGCGAAUUCCAGUAAACAAUCGCCGACACCCGACAGCACAGCCAGCUUCCGAGGGUUCUGCGCUAGUCUCAUGGAGUAAAAUGCGUAAAAAGAUGAAGAAGAAGAAACUGUAGGUAUUUUGCAAAUUUCAGCAAGACAUAGUACUACAGAACUUGUAGCAUACACGCUAGAUAGUGCACUUCACGCCUUCUGCGCGGCGAAACCAAGGGGCAAAUGGCGUGACAAGCUAGUAGCGUCCGCGCCGCGCCAGUGGACCGAUGGGUGGGCGGUCAGGCCACCGUGGCCGUGGCCGGGGCCGGCAGCGAGGCGGGGCCGACCACCAGCGAGGCGUCGCCGGAGAGAGGGAUGACGCCGCCGCGGG
Molecule: long non-coding RNA, 893 nt
Filed under: Triticum aestivum (bread wheat)
Lineage: Eukaryota; Viridiplantae; Streptophyta; Magnoliopsida; Poales; Poaceae
Description: long non-coding RNA (TAES_LNC019419)
Source: RNAcentral